AUUGAACGCUGGCGGCAUGCCUUACACGUGCAAGUCGAACGGCAGCACGGGUGCUUGCACCUGGUGGCGAGUGGCGAACGGGUGAGUAAUACAUCGGAACGUACCUUAUCGUGGGGGAUAACGCAGCGAAAGCUGUGCUAAUACCGCAUACGCCCUGAGGGGGAAAGCGGGGGAUCGAAAGACCUCGCGCGAUUAGAGCGGCCGAUGCCUGAUUAGCUUGCUGGUGGGGUAAAAGCCCACCAAGGCGACGAUCAGUAGCUGGUCUGAGAGGACGAUCAGCCACACUGGGACUGGGACACGGCCCAGACUCCUACGGGAGGCAGCAGUGGGGAAUUUUGGACAAUGGGGGCAACCCUGAUCCAGUAAUGCCGCGUGAGUGAAGAAGGCCUUCGGGUUGUAAAGCUCUUUUGUCAGGGAAGAAACACCGGCUCUAACACAGUCCGGGAAUGACGGUACCUGAAGAAUAAGCACCGGCUAACUACGUGCCAGCAGCCGCCGUAA
RNAcentral lists this ribosomal RNA (501 nucleotides) under uncultured bacterium. Its description in RNAcentral is "partial 16S ribosomal RNA". It matches the Rfam family "Bacterial small subunit ribosomal RNA", at positions 29 to 523 of the family's 1533-position model. The record is from RNAcentral.